AUCAACAAAGCUUCGUUCAACCAGUAAGACAACAUGUCCAACACGUUGUGAAAAACAGGCAACUAGUGGGGAGUCGGAAACUGGAUAUCAAGGAUAUGGAAUAAAUCCACAUUCGGCUUGCCAUAUGCCUCAAACAUCUGGUGGCAGACUCACAAAGAAUUCAGAUUUGUGUCUCUUUCACAUUGUGAAAUAUGCCUACAUAAUACUUUUUUUUCCAUGCUUACGUUUAAAAGUUUAUUUAAUUCAUAUAUUAUUGAAUGUGAAAGGCGGUUGUUUUUCACACACAAGUCUGAGUUCUCCUGAGUCUGCUAGCCUACAUGUAGGCAUAUUUUCGGACACCUACUUUUGGGUGACGCGUGUGAUCAGAGCCCAUAGAGCAUUUGUAAUAUCAAUUCCAGAGAGAGAGACGUACUACAACAUAUCUGGUGUGAUUGUGCCACAUCGUGCUCUAAGAAUGGUGUUCUGUAAAACAUUGCACAUCCAUAGAAUUUUUUUCAAUCGUAUCUAACUUCAGAAGGGCAGUAUGGCUGGGCAACCCCAAGUAUGGGGUCCUUCUUAGAAACGUUCUUUAAAUUCGGCCAUUUUCCAAAGGGAUGUCUUUUCAGAUGUGCGAUUCAGAGCGCGAACAUCCUUUUUCGGGGAAGGGUGUUUUGUUUGAAAGCUGGACCACAUUUGAAAGGUUCCUGGAACCAAAUACCUGAAGAUGUCAAGUGCGUCAAACGGGUUCCAUUGCAAAAACGAAUUGGAUUGGUGGCUUCUGUUAUUUGAAGAAAGUAAAACAGCAUUGUUUCAAAUCCGUCUGUAUACAAGUGCUUAGUUUCUUGCCUUUAUAUAGAAGUGUAUAAAAAUGAAUGUAUAAUGUGAAAAUUAUGUAAUGCUGUGCACUUGGUGAUGUCCAGUCCCCAGGUAAUUGUUCACUAUGGUAGUGCAUGUAUUCAGCCAUUCUUUAACAUUAGUCUUUAGUUUGUCAGUUUGGGUUCAAACAUUUUGCCACAUUCUGGCUGCCAAAUUCAUGACAACGGUUGGGCAUAUGCAUCAUGAAUUAAACUGACCAACAGUUUAAACCUAAUAAAGCACAUUGUCUGUUGUAAAUCA
Molecule: long non-coding RNA, 1095 nt
Organism: Conger conger (European conger)
Lineage: Eukaryota; Metazoa; Chordata; Actinopteri; Anguilliformes; Congridae
Exons: 3
Source: RefSeq, a predicted model, not a curated record